AGGAGAGUUUGAUCCUGGCUCAGGAUGAACGCUGUGCGGCGUGCUUAACACAUGCAAGUCGAACGAAGCAACUUAUUACGAUCCCUUCGGGGUGACGAUUUGUUGACUGAGUGGCGGACGGGUGAGUAACGCGUGGGUAACCUGCCUUGUACAGGGGGACAACAGUUGGAAACGACUGCUAAUACCGCAUAAGCGCACAGCUUCGCAUGAAGCAGUGUGAAAAGUUAUUUCGGUACAAGAUGGACCCGCGUCUGAUUAGCUAGUUGGUGAGGUAACGGCCCACCAAGGCGACGAUCAGUAGCCGACCUGAGAGGGUGACCGGCCACAUUGGGACUGAGACACGGCCCAAACUCCUACGGGAGGCAGCAGUGGGGAAUAUUGCACAAUGGGCGAAAGCCUGAUGCAGCGACGCCGCGUGAGCGAAGAAGUAUUUCGGUAUGUAAAGCUCUAUCAGCAGGGAAGAUAAUGACGGUACCUGACUAAGAAGCACCGGCUAAAUACGUGCCAGCAGCCGCGGUAAUACGUAUGGUGCAAGCGUUAUCCGGAUUUACUGGGUGUAAAGGGAGCGUAGGCGGUUUUACAAGUCUGAUGUGAAAGCCCGGGGCUCAACUCCGGUAUUGCAUUGGAAACUGUAGAACUAGAGUGUCGGAGGGGUAAGUGGAAUUCCUAGUGUAGCGGUGAAAUGCGUAGAUAUUAGGAGGAACACCAGUGGCGAAGGCGGCUUACUGGACGAUUACUGACGCUGAGGCUCGAAAGCGUGGGGAGCAAACAGGAUUAGAUACCCUGGUAGUCCCCU
Molecule: ribosomal RNA, 796 nt
Filed under: uncultured Bacillota bacterium
Lineage: Bacteria; Bacillati; Bacillota
Description: bacterial SSU rRNA
Rfam family: Bacterial small subunit ribosomal RNA
Source: RNAcentral